ACAGAGGGUGCGAGCGUUAAUCGGAAUUACUGGGCGUAAAGCGUGCGUAGGCGGAUAUUUAAGUCAGAUGUGAAAUCCCCGGGCUUAACCUGGGAACUGCAUCUGAUACUGAAUAUCUGGAGUAUGGUAGAGGAAAGUGGAAUUCCCGGUGUAGCGGUGAAAUGCGUAGAUAUCGGGAGGAACAUCAGUGGCGAAGGCGACUUUCUGGAACGGUACUGACGCUGAGACGCGAAAGCGUGGGGAGCGAACAGGA
RNAcentral lists this ribosomal RNA (253 nucleotides) under uncultured prokaryote. Its description in RNAcentral is "partial 16S ribosomal RNA". It matches the Rfam family "Bacterial small subunit ribosomal RNA", at positions 525 to 777 of the family's 1533-position model. The record is from RNAcentral.